UUGGUUCGAUUAUUCCAUCGGAUGACAUUCUAUAGAAUCGUAUGUCUCAUUAAAAAAAAAUUGUUUGGUUCACAUCAACAAAAAAGUGAUCCAGACUCAGGUGUUCAUUGGAAUCACCCAUUUACACUAAAAGUGGGGAUUCAACUAGAUUAACCUAGUUAGGUAAAUCCAAGAUCGAAUCAAUGAUUCCAGGGUUCAUAUAAAAAUCCCAGAAUCAGGGUGACUUAAGUUAUCGGGUUUUCACCUUUCCCAUCCUUCGGAAGCCGCAGGUUUCUUCUGAAAACCGCAGGUUCCUCAUUGUGCAAGAUUUUAGGGAUUGUCUUCGUCGAUCAACUGAAGAAGGGGGUGUUUUCCAGAUUGUUUGAGAUUUACUUUUACAAUGGAGUUUGAUGAUGGCUACAAGAGGUGAAGGAAAAUCAUAAUCUUUGCGGCGACUGUUGUUGUUAUAGCAGUAGACCAGUAUAUAAAAAAAUAUCUGAACAAAGAGCCAACUGAAUUUAUGAUGGACGUGACUGGUACUCAGGUUGAGGGGAUAGGGAACAAUGAUGGACUUGACUAUUCAAAUGUUGAACUUGAAGAAAGUGUUAUUUUCACUCCCAUUGGUAGUACCAGUCGUUCUCGAGGAAGACCUCGUGGGUUUGUGAACAGUGGUAGAGAAAAUAGGAAGAAUGGUGCAGCUGAAAAGGUUGUAAGUCCAUUGAAAUCAGUUGCAAAUUCAAUCGAAAAGAUGGUAAUGAGUGAAUCUCAGUCUGAAUUUGGGAGAGCAAUUAUAGAUGUUGUUAAUGCCAUUUCAGACCUCAAUUUUCAACAAAAGUUCAAGGCAAAGGAAUAUUUCAUGGCAAAAAAGAAUUCUGCCAUUAUCGUCAUGGAAACAAAAAAAGAAGAUAGGAGAAAUCUGCUUGAGAUGUAUUUGCCAGAAAUUGAGAAGAAUUGAGGUGACAGUAGGAAGUGAGAAGAAAUCUUAAGACAAUGGUUUUUUUAUUAGAAAUUUGAUGUGUUGGUUGAUGUAAUUUGAUACUAUGUUAAGUCUCUGACAAUGGUUUUUUGUAUGUUCCUCUA
Macadamia integrifolia is the source of this 1059-nucleotide long non-coding RNA. RefSeq lists it as uncharacterized. The transcript has 2 exons. The record is from RefSeq and is a predicted model, not a curated record. Lineage: Eukaryota; Viridiplantae; Streptophyta; Magnoliopsida; Proteales; Proteaceae.